Saccostrea echinata is the source of this 178-nucleotide long non-coding RNA. RefSeq lists it as uncharacterized. NCBI's taxonomy places the organism in Eukaryota, Metazoa, Mollusca, Bivalvia, Ostreida, Ostreidae. The transcript is spliced from 3 exons. The record is from RefSeq and is a predicted model, not a curated record.
UGUAGAUCCCUGGACAUUGUUCUUAUUCCAUGUCCAAGGCAGCCAUGGAUGCCUUCACUCGAGGAUUAGCACAUGAGUUAGCGCCCUUUGGAGUGCGAGCAAAUACUACGAGGCCUGGACUCAUACGAAGCAAUUUUCUGAGACGUGAUAACGAUCCUGGUUUAGGAGAUGAAGAAUC